AUUGAACGCUGGCGGAAUGCCUUACACAUGCAAGUCGAACGGUAGCGGGCCUUCGGGUGCCGACGAGUGGCGAACGGGUGAGUAAUGCAUCGGAACGUGCCAUUGAGUGGGGGAUAACGUAGCGAAAGUUACGCUAAUACCGCAUAUUCUGUGAGCAGGAAAGCAGGGGACCGCAAGGCCUUGCGCUCUUUGAGCGGCCGAUGUCAGAUUAGCUAGUUGGUGAGGUAAAGGCUUACCAAGGCGACGAUCUGUAGCGGGUCUGAGAGGAUGAUCCGCCACACUGGAACUGAGACACGGUCCAGACUCCUACGGGAGGCAGCAGUGGGGAAUUUUGGACAAUGGGGGCAACCCUGAUCCAGCCAUGCCGCGUGAGUGAAGAAGGCC
Molecule: ribosomal RNA, 384 nt
Filed under: uncultured bacterium
Lineage: Bacteria
Description: bacterial SSU rRNA
Rfam family: Bacterial small subunit ribosomal RNA
Source: RNAcentral